This 484-nucleotide ribosomal RNA is filed under the name uncultured bacterium. Its description in RNAcentral is "partial 16S ribosomal RNA". It matches the Rfam family "Bacterial small subunit ribosomal RNA", at positions 28 to 523 of the family's 1533-position model. The record is from RNAcentral.
GACGAACGCUGGCGGCGUGCUUAACACAUGCAAGUCGAACGAUGAAGCUGGAGCUUGCUCUAGCGGAUUAGUGGCGAACGGGUGAGUAACACGUGAGCAAUCUGCCCUUGACUCUGGGAUAACUGCGGGAAACUGUAGCUAAUACCGGAUACUUUCACCGGGGGGCAUCCUCUGGUGAUGAAAGAAUUUCGGUCAAGGAUGAGCUGGCGGCAUAUGAGCUUGUUGGUGCGGUAACGGCUCACCAAGGCGACGACGGGUAACCGGCCUGAGAGGGUGACCGGUCACACUGGGACUGAGACACGGCCCAGACUCCUACGGGAGGCAGCAGUGGGGAAUAUUGCACAAUGGGCGCAAGCCUGAUGCAGCAACGCCGCGUGAGGGAUGAAGGCCUUCGGGUUGUAAACCUCUUUUAGCAGGGAAGAAGCGAAAGUGACGGUACCUGCAGAAAAAGCACCGGCUAACUACGUGCCAGCCGCCGCCGUAA